GGCGUUUUCAAUUGUGUAAAC
This 21-nucleotide non-coding RNA is filed under the name Caenorhabditis elegans. Lineage: Eukaryota; Metazoa; Nematoda; Chromadorea; Rhabditida; Rhabditidae. The record is from RNAcentral.